UAAAAAUCUCAAGCCUAAUUUAUUAAAAUAAAGCUUGGUGUUGGGUCUUCAUCCCUUUCUCCCCGCUGAAAAGAGGGGAAGACAGGGGAUGUACCUGAAAACCAGCGGUGGUGCCACAAUGGCCUCAAGUGUAGUAGACCUUUUAACUCUCACUUUAGGUGGUCAGUUGGAGUUACCUGCCCAUUGAUUACUUUGAAAUG
Molecule: unclassified non-coding RNA, 200 nt
Filed under: uncultured Ascomycota
Lineage: Eukaryota; Fungi; Ascomycota
Description: sequence contains ITS2
Source: RNAcentral